UACGAAGGGGGCUAGCGUUGUUCGGAUUUACUGGGCGUAAAGCGCGUGUAGGCGGGUCGUUAAGUUGGGGGUGAAAUCCCGGAGCUCAACUCCGGAACUGCCUUCAAAACUGGCGACCUGGACUCAAGCAGAGGCAAGUGGAAUUGCGAGUGUAGAGGUGAAAUUCGUAGAUAUUCGCAGGAACACCAGUGGCGAAGGCGACUUGCUGGGCUUGUAGUGACGCUGAGACGCGAAAGCGUGGGGAGCAAACAGGAUUAGAAACCCUUGUAGUCC
RNAcentral lists this ribosomal RNA (273 nucleotides) under uncultured prokaryote. Its description in RNAcentral is "partial 16S ribosomal RNA". It matches the Rfam family "Bacterial small subunit ribosomal RNA", at positions 524 to 796 of the family's 1533-position model. The record is from RNAcentral.